RNAcentral lists this ribosomal RNA (511 nucleotides) under uncultured bacterium. RNAcentral describes it as "bacterial SSU rRNA". It matches the Rfam family "Bacterial small subunit ribosomal RNA", at positions 36 to 524 of the family's 1533-position model. The record is from RNAcentral.
CGGUCGGCGUGCCUAAUACAUGCAAGUCGAACGCGCGAGCGGAGAGGUGCUUGCACUUUCAAGCGAGUGGCGAACGGGUGAGUAACACGUGGAUAACCUUGCCUCAAGGCUGGGGAUAACAUUUGGAAACAGAUGCUAAUACCGAAUAAAACUUAAGUAUCGCAUGAUAUAAAGUUAAAAAGGACGCUACGGCGUCACCUAGAGAUGGAUCCGCGGUGCAUUAGUUAGUUGGUGAGGUAAAGGCUCACCAAGACAAUGAUGCAUAGCCGAGUUGAGAGACUGAUCGGCCACAUUGGGACUGAGACACGGCCCAAACUCCUACGGGAGGCUGCAGUAGGGAAUCUUCCACAAUGGGCGCAAGCCUGAUGGAGCAACGCCGCGUGUGUGAUGAAGGCUUUCGGGUCGUAAAGCACUGUUGUAUGGGAAGAACAGCUAGAAUAGGGAAUGAUUUUAGUGUGACGGUACCAUACCAGAAAGGGACGGCUAAAUACGUGCCAGCAGCCGCGGUAAU